Molecule: ribosomal RNA, 336 nt
Filed under: uncultured bacterium
Lineage: Bacteria
Description: partial 16S ribosomal RNA
Rfam family: Bacterial small subunit ribosomal RNA
Source: RNAcentral
CCUACGGGAGACAGCAGUAGGGAAUAUUGCUCAAUGGGGGAAACCCUGAAGCAGCAACGCCGCGUGGAGGAUGAAGGUUUUCGGAUUGUAAACUCCUUUUGUUAGAGAAGAUAAUGACGGUAUCUAACGAAUAAGCACCGGCUAACUCCGUGCCAGCAGCCGCGGUAAUACGGAGGGUGCAAGCGUUACUCGGAAUCACUUGGCGUAAAGAGCCCGGAGGCGGGAUAGCAAGUCAGAUGUGAAAUCCUAUGGCUUAACCAUAGAACUGCAUUUGAAACUGUUAAUCUAGAGUAUGGGAGAGGUUAGUGGAAAUCUUUGUGUAAGGGUAAAAAUCGU